Molecule: ribosomal RNA, 465 nt
Filed under: uncultured Klebsiella sp.
Lineage: Bacteria; Pseudomonadati; Pseudomonadota; Gammaproteobacteria; Enterobacterales; Enterobacteriaceae
Description: bacterial SSU rRNA
Rfam family: Bacterial small subunit ribosomal RNA
Source: RNAcentral
CCUACGGGGUGCUGCAGUGGGGAAUAUUGCACAAUGGGCGCAAGCCUGAUGCAGCCAUGCCGCGUGUGUGAAGAAGGCCUUCGGGUUGUAAAGCACUUUCAGCGGGGAGGAAGGCGGUGAGGUUAAUAACCUCAUCGAUUGACGUUACCCGCAGAAGAAGCACCGGCUAACUCCGUGCCAGCAGCCGCGGUAAUACGGAGGGUGCAAGCGUUAAUCGGAAUUACUGGGCGUAAAGCGCACGCAGGCGGUCUGUCAAGUCGGAUGUGAAAUCCCCGGGCUCAACCUGGGAACUGCAUUCGAAACUGGCAGGCUAGAGUCUUGUAGAGGGGGGUAGAAUUCCAGGUGUAGCGGUGAAAUGCGUAGAGAUCUGGAGGAAUACCGGUGGCGAAGGCGGCCCCCUAGACAAAGACUGACGCUCAGGUGCGAAAGCGUGGGGAGCAAACAGGAUUAGAUACCCGAGUAGUC